UAUGUACUCCCUCCGUCCGGAAUUACCUGUCGUGAAAAUGGAUGUAUCUAGAACUAAAAUACGUCUAGAUACAUCCAUUUCUGCGACAAGUAAUUCUGAACGGAGGGAGUACAAA
Triticum aestivum (bread wheat) is the source of this 115-nucleotide non-coding RNA. NCBI's taxonomy places the organism in Eukaryota, Viridiplantae, Streptophyta, Magnoliopsida, Poales, Poaceae. The record is from Rfam.